RNAcentral lists this ribosomal RNA (859 nucleotides) under Fusarium oxysporum. RNAcentral's name for it is "eukaryotic LSU rRNA". It matches the Rfam family "Eukaryotic large subunit ribosomal RNA", at positions 68 to 959 of the family's 3401-position model. Lineage: Eukaryota; Fungi; Ascomycota; Sordariomycetes; Hypocreales; Nectriaceae. The record is from RNAcentral.
ACAGGGAUGCCCUAGUAACGGCGAGUGAAGCGGCAACAGCUCAAUUUGAAAUCUGGCUCUCGGGCCCGAGUUGUAAUUUGUAGAGGAUGCUUUUGAUGCGGUGCCUUCCGAGUUCCCUGGAACGGGACGCCAUAGAGGGUGAGAGCCCCGUCUGGUUGGAUGCCAAAUCUCUGUAAAGCUCCUUCAACGAGUCGAGUAGUUUGGGAAUGCUGCUCUAAAUGGGAGGUAUAUGUCUUCUAAAGCUAAAUACCGGCCAGAGACCGAUAGCGCACAAGUAGAGUGAUCGAAAGAUGAAAAGCACUUUGAAAAGAGAGUUAAAAAGUACGUGAAAUUGUUGAAAGGGAAGCGUUUAUGACCAGACUUGGGCUUGGUUAAUCAUCUGGGGUUCUCCCCAGUGCACUUUUCCAGUCCAGGCCAGCAUCAGUUUUCCCCGGGGGAUAAAGGCGGCGGGAAUGUGGCUCUCUUCGGGGAGUGUUAUAGCCCGCCGUGUAAUACCCUGGGGGGGACUGAGGUUCGCGCAUCUGCAAGGAUGCUGGCGUAAUGGUCAUCAACGACCCGUCUUGAAACACGGACCAAGGAGUCGUCUUCGUAUGCGAGUGUUCGGGUGUCAAACCCCUACGCGUAAUGAAAGUGAACGCAGGUGAGAGCUUCGGCGCAUCAUCGACCGAUCCUGAUGUUCUCGGAUGGAUUUGAGUAAGAGCAUACGGGGCCGGACCCGAAAGAAGGUGAACUAUGCCUGUAUAGGGUGAAGCCAGAGGAAACUCUGGUGGAGGCUCGCAGCGGUUUCUGACGUGCAAAUCGAUCGUCAAAUAUGGGCAUGGGGGCGAAGACUAAUCGAACCUUCUAGUAGCUGGUUUCG